GUCAUCUCCUCUCCACAGUCUUCUCCAAGGCCCAGCACAAGGCUUUAUAUAGAAGGGAGGAGGAACUGAUGUCUUGAUUGCACUGACAGUACCCUCUGAGCUGGCCCUUGGAGGUUGGAAAGUUCCACUGGAGAUUCAAUUAUGAAAACUGUUUUGACUAUACCUUGUGACACAUGUGGAUGACCCUCGGCACUGAGGAAAAAAGAAACUACGAAGUUCCUGAUGGACCAUCCGCAUAGUGAACAACAAUUAUUUGGCAUCCCGAAAAGUCCACCAAUCCUGGCCUCACAUCAUGAUACCCAUGGGGAAAAAAAAAACUAUAAAACUUCAAGAAGAAAAAUUUUUAUAGUCUUAGGGUGGGAUGGUUUUCCUAAGCAAGACACAAAACUCAGUAUAUUGGCUUAUAUACAUAUUUUUAAAAUUUUUUUGAAGGAUAUACAAAUCACCAAAGGAGAACAGGAGUCUGAGCAACAGUAGUAGAAGGACAACAUUUUACUGUAACUCAUCUUACACAUUUUGAAUUUUGACUCUUGAACUGUAUCACCUAACUCUUUAAAAGACGUUUCAAAAUAAUGGAGUCAAUAAUAGAUACAACUGUUCUUGGCAUCUAGCUGCUUUGUUGUGAGAAGGCUAAGCUACAUGGAAAGGCCAUGUGGAAGAGAACUACAGAUGCUGGUUGAGACCCCCAGCUAGUCCCAGCCCCCUCCCAGCCACCAGAGGAAGCCUACCCUGGAGCUGCCAGCUAUCCCAGCACCCCAAAAGACACCACAUGGAGCAGAAGAACUGCCUGGUCCUGUUCAUUGGUGUAUCCCUAGCGCCUGGCACACAGAAGUCACUCAAUAAAUAUGUGCUGAAUAAAUGAAAGGGGAAUAGAUGAAGGGCAGCUUUCAUUCACUCAACAAGCAUUUACUAAGUGCCUACAAGAUGUCACACCCUAGACUAUACCUGGAAAUACAUGAAGGAACAGAACACCAAGGCUGCUCUCCAAGAGCUCACAGAGUUUCUCCCUUCUAGCAGUAACUCAAGAAAAAAGUGGAGGUGGGUGUAACCCUGCCCAAGGCAGGAGGUCAACCAAGUACCAGAAGGAAGGGGUGCUCUCAGAGAGGAAUACAGGUUUACCUAGGAUAGGUCUGUUUAACUGGAAACAAGCAGCAGAAGCUUUGAUUCUGUUUAUCAUGCCUGCAUGUGAAGAAUUAAUGUAGCUUUGCACUGAUGAAAAAUAAAAGGUGGACUCUUCUUUAUAAGGGUGGUUUAUUUACCCAAGCAUCAGUCUAACUCUUUCAAGAGAAACACUGGUUAGUUCAUUGCGUUCAUGUUGUCUGCAUACUAUUUUUACCACACUGUAAACUCCUCUGAACCGAAGUCAUUGUUUGUCAUGAUCAUAUAGUUUAUAUCCCACCCCACUGCUGCCUUCCAUAAGCACCGAGCACCUAACAUAGUGCCCAGAGUAAAGGGACACUGCAGAUUGCAAAAGGGGCACAAUUCACUCAUUUGGUAUCACUUCCCUUCUGCAUUCCUCACUAUGUUUUUUAGGUUUGUUAGAGGAGUAUUUGUUGUUUCUUCUAAUUUUCUGAAGCAGAACUGGCACCACCACCACCUCACCCCCCAAAUAAAGCCAGCUGUGGGAUUCUGGAGAAGAAUUACUUGGUUGUAGCUUUGCCAGAGCCUUCCAUAGCUCAGGCCCAUUGAAGGAAAAAAUAGGAAACAGAAUUUCUACUUACAGUAAGAAAAAGUUGGAGCAACUUUUCCCUUGGAGAUUACAUCAAAGAUACUUGAGGUUAUGUUUUCCAUACUAGUUGCCCUAAAAAUGAGGAAACACAAGAACUUUUCCUCAAUGAAGAAUCUAAGCCUGGCUACCUACAGAAGGGCAAUGGUGCUGCCAAACCCCAGCCCGGGAAGCCAUGCAGCCUGAUGCAAUUGCAGCUGGGCAUCCAGGGACAGCUACACUGCCUCCAUGCUCCACCACCUACCCAGAACCCCUGGACCACAGUCUCAUCUUCACUACCAUUUUGAGGGUCAUCUGUGGCAUGUCUUAUAACAAAUUUCUAAGCUAGAUAAAAGUAAGUUAGAAAUUAACCUG
Molecule: long non-coding RNA, 2080 nt
Filed under: Homo sapiens (human)
Lineage: Eukaryota; Metazoa; Chordata; Mammalia; Primates; Hominidae
Description: HSALNT0059768
Source: RNAcentral